Long non-coding RNA from Pan troglodytes (chimpanzee), 660 nucleotides. RefSeq lists it as uncharacterized. The record is from RefSeq and is a predicted model, not a curated record. NCBI's taxonomy places the organism in Eukaryota, Metazoa, Chordata, Mammalia, Primates, Hominidae. The transcript is spliced from 3 exons.
AGGGCAGAGACCCUGGGCGCAUCAGCAUGUCAGGAGUGGGCAGCAGUGCCUCAAAAGCAAUGUAGAAAUUUCCAGAGUGGAAAUGCAUAACCAUGUUAUUCUGCAUCUUUGUGGGCUGGAGUACAGCACUGUGCUAUUUUUGUGAGGCUUUUGUUCAGUUGAUUAAAAAAAUAGUAUCUUUGAAAAGAACAUUAGAGAACACCAUGGGAAACUUAUAAUUGCCUAAACAUUUAAGUUUUCUAAGUUGUUGACGACAGCUGGUCGAGCAGUCUUUUCUUCUACUCUCCAAUUUAGAGGGAAAUGCUGCCAACAAUCUCUCACCAGCAGAGGGACCAACCUGGAUGCUUUCCUUGUAGCAGAGGCUGCUUUGGGGGUGAAAGUGAAACGAGAGCACCCAGGCUGUCUGAUGCAUUCAGAAGGUGAAAGAUCAUUACUCAGUAGGAUCUCUUCAAAGGCCAGGGUAAUACAAGGCAGAUGUUCUUCCAACUCAGACCAGAACCUUCUAGUACCUCAAACCACCUGGGCCUGGUGAUAUGAAAGAGGGAAUCCAGGCCAACCUCAGAAGACCUGAUAGGAAAGAUCUUGGAGUCUGGUUUAGAUUGGUCUACCCUAAAAGUUAUAGACAUCUUAUGCAAAACUGCAUAAUAAAAUGUAUGUCUG